This 3424-nucleotide long non-coding RNA is filed under the name Homo sapiens (human). RNAcentral describes it as "HSALNT0158473". Lineage: Eukaryota; Metazoa; Chordata; Mammalia; Primates; Hominidae. The record is from RNAcentral.
CUUCUUUCAAAUCUAAAUUUAGCAAAUAUCUUUCAAUAUUACACUUUUCUCCUUUGAAACUUGAAGGCUUUGGGCAUUUAAGAAUCAGUGUUUCAGCUGCAAUGCUUCUGAGAGGAAGGGAGAUUUUCAAAGAGCCUUUGUCAGCCCAGGAGUGAGUGAGUUAAUCCAUCCACCUGCCCCAACUGAGAGCAGAAGACACUGUUUAUAGGACUGAAGACAGAGGUGCUGGGUGCAAGGACUGAGACUAAGAAUGGAAAUGCGAGAACCAGGAUUCAGGGUAAAAGAAAAAAAGAAACUGCCUGGCAUACAGUAAGGAUUUAUUACUCCUCCUCCCUUCCCAAGAAGAAUGUGUUGCCCCCGAGACUUCUGGUUGAUCUUAAGGGUGCAGCGACAAGAACUGCAAGGUGCUGCUCCCUCCCGUGACUCCUAAGCUGCUAGACGAGAGCUGUGCUUCUCCUAUCUAGGUCUCAAGACAUGGCCCUGUGUUUCCAGUCCUUCAGGGGAGGUUCCAGGAUAGUGUGGCAAUGGUGGUACCCAGGGUGGACUUGGUCUGUCACUCUACAGAGUGGGUCCUCAUCCUGAAGGAUCAUAGAGUCACCCAGGAGCUUCUAAAAAUGCCACUCGCCCGGACUCGUGCCUUCCUCACCAACUCGGGAUUUCCGGGGCUCUGGAUUAUCGGGCCCCCUCUGGCUUAUUUUUCCCUGUCUUUGGAAGUUCCCAGUACUCACAACUGGAUGCUGCGGAAAUAAGACAUGAGGACCUCGGCGUCGUCUCUGGGCACACAGCUCACCGGUCAUGAGUGAAGCUCCCAAGGCCAGCGAACCUCUCUCCAGCACCAACGGGGCUGUGACCAAUACUGCCUCAUGCCCAGUCCCUGAUCUUAUUUGUGGUAAAGCAGCCCACACUUUUUAGUGCAAGGAUUUCUGCCCCUCCCUGUUUGAUAGCGAUCAGAGACGCCUCACCGUGGGCCAUCCAUGCGGGUGUUUCGUUCACAUUUUUUCCAUUGGCAAUCUCUCUGAAGUAAAACCUCUCUCGUAUAUGAAUUAACUGGGACAAAGAAUGGGUGGCCUGCAGGGAGCCACGUUUAAAUAUACCUUGAGACGGUUUCAUGAAGAUUUCUUCCCCUCACCUCAUUUUCUAUGUGACUAUGAGGAUGUGCUCUUGUUUUCUGCAUGUUUCUCAUAAUCACUUUCUCGCUAGUGUGGCCUCUUCCGCCUCGCCUUCACAGACGGAGCUUGAUAAUACCUGCCUGAAGGGUGUUUGCUGUGAACUGGUCCCUUGAAGAAUCUUGAUGGACAGUGGCAAUCAUAAAGGCUAAAUUAGAGUGGGAACUGAAGGGAGAUGAGUGGAAGGGCAGGGAGGAAUCAGAGAACGUUAUUCUUCUUUUUUGUUUUGUUUUGUUUUGAGACAGAGUUUUGCUCUUGUUGCCCAGGCUGGAGUGCAAUGGUGUGAUCUCGGCUCACUGUAACCUCUGCCUCCCGGGUUCAAGUGAUUCUCCUGCCCCAGCCUUCCACGUAGCUGGGACCACAGGCACUCGCCACCAUGCCUGGCUAAUUUUGUAUUUUUAGUAGAGAUGAGGUUUCACCAUGUUGGCCAGCCUGGUCUCAAACUCCUGACCUCAGGUGAUCUGCCUGUCUUGGCUUCUCAGAGUGCUGGGAUUACAGGCAUGAGCCAUCCACUGAGCCAGAGAACAUUAUUCUUCUAAAUUCUGGGUUGUGAGUGUGUGAACAUGCGUAAGCAUGUGACCAUGUACAUACUAUUUCCCCCUUCCCUCUCUCUCGAGCAGCCCUACAUACCCUUUUCCUAGACAAAAUAACACCUUCCGAAUCACAGACCCCUUAGUUAUAAUAUCAGCAUGCCUACAAUUCCACCUGAGUAGCUUGACAUGAAGUCAUUACUUGUGUACAUCUUAACCUGCACCUGCUUAAUGUGAGGACUCCAGGUCAUAGCAAUUGUACUACUCAGAAACGCCUACUUCUGAUCAAUAAAGAGAAUCAUUAAACUUCUCAGAACAAAUUACUCUAUGUCCGUGCGAGGAAAUCGGAGCAGCCAUGAAACAUCUGCAUCUGGUACCCCUGGGGGGUGGGAUGACAGACUCUUCUUUCCUCCUUGGCACCUCUAUUCUCUAAGUUCUCAACAAGAAGUUUCCCCGGGAAGCAGCCUCCCUUUCCACCCUGCCCAUCUCACCCCACACUGCAUCAGCCGGUCUCUCUCUUCCCCUAAUGCCCUGCACGAACACCUGCCAUUGCAUUUACUGACCUGUAGUUCAAUUAUCUACUUAUCUCACCUGCUUUGCUCAUGAUCCUAUGCAACCCUUGAGGUCAUGGAUUGUAUCUUGUCAAUCUCUACUUCCCAGCAAUGAGCACCAUAUUUACUGCAUGGUAAUUGCCAAGUAUUUGUUGAAUGAAUGAAGGACCCAAACCAUUAACAGCGCUGUCUCUGGGUGGUGAUUUUUAUUUUCUUCUCUUUGCUUUUUCUUCGUCUAAGUUUUUUGUUGUUGUUCUUACUUUGAGGAUGUAUUACUUCUAUAAUCAGAUAAAAGAAUUUAUAAAAAUUGAGCCACUCCUUUCUGCUAGUUGAUCCAAAUGAAGAAAAUACUUUGAAUAAUUUAAUCAAUGAACACACUUUUGCUGAAUGUCUAUUAUGGGCUCUAUGUGCAGAUAUUUAUGCUGCCUUUAAAAAGUCUUUCAUGCGUUAUGUACUUUAAACUUCUUAAAUGAAUACAUUCCCAUUCAAAAAUUUUUCAAAUGUCCUAAUCUUCGGAGCUCACGUGUGUUUAGAAUUAACUGCUCUGUGACUCCGCUGGGCCUCUUAUAGUUUAAGAUAUCUAGAGGGGGUGGCUGUAAGGAAAAUACAGUUUUUAUCCUUACAAACUGGUCUAAGUGAGAAGUGCUUUUCAAACAUAUCCACCUACCUGGCAAAAUCUUAACACCUUUCAAAUUCUAACUCAUGUAAAAAAUAGGUUGUUUUUUAGCCUGGACUAGAGGAGAGCCAUGUUUUCAUUUUUCAACAAAGGAUAGAGUCCUAAAUCCUGUCAUUUGCAACAACAUGGAUGGGCCUAGAGGAUGUUGUGCUAAGUAAAGCAAGCUGGCACAGAAAGACAAAUACCACAGGGUCUCACCAACAUGUGGAAUCUAAAAAAGUCCAAUUCAGAAGGACUCAGGUGGGUGCCAGAGGCUGUGGGGAAGAGAUGGAGAUAAAGAGAUGUUGGUCAAAGUGUGCAGAGUUUUUGUUAAAAGGAGUAAGUUUUUGAGCUCUAUGGCAUAUCGUGGUGACCAUAGUUAAUGAUAAUGUAAUGUACAUUUCAAAAUUGCUAAAAGGGUAGAUUUUAAAUGUUUGUACCAUAAAACAAAAGCAUGUGAGUUUCUGGAUAUGUUAAUUAGUGGGAUUUAAUCAUUCCAAAAUAUACACAUAUAUCAAAACA